AUUGAACGCUGGCGGCAUGCCUUACACAUGCAAGUCGAACGGCAGCACGGGAGCAAUCCUGGUGGCGAGUGGCGAACGGGUGAGUAAAGUAUCGGAACGUGCCCAGUCGUGGGGGAUAACGUAGCGAAAGUUAUGCUAAUAUCGCAUACGAUCUAUGGAUGAAAGCGGGGGAUCGCCAGACCCGGCGCAAUUGGAGCGGCCGAGAUCAGGUUAGGUAGUUGGUGGGGUAAAGGCGCACCAAGCCGACGAUCUGUAGCUGGUCUGAGAGGACGACCAGCCACACUGGGACUGAGACACGGCCCAGACUCCUACGGGAGGCAGCAGUGGGGAAUUUUGGACAAUGGGCGAAAGCCUGAUCCAGCCAUGCCGCGUGCAGGAUGAAGGCCUUCGGGUUGUAAACUGCUUUUGUACGGAACGAAAAGGUUUGGCCUAAUAAGCUGAGCUCAUGACGGUACCGUAAGAAUAAGCACCGGCUAACUACGUGCCAGCCGCCGCGGUAA
RNAcentral lists this ribosomal RNA (500 nucleotides) under uncultured bacterium. RNAcentral describes it as "partial 16S ribosomal RNA". It matches the Rfam family "Bacterial small subunit ribosomal RNA", at positions 30 to 523 of the family's 1533-position model. The record is from RNAcentral.